UUUAAUUGAAGAGUUUGAUCAUGGCUCAGAUUGAACGCUGGCGGCAGGCCUAACACAUGCAAGUCGAGCGGCAGCGCAAGGGAGUUUACUUCUGAGGCGGCGAGCGGCGGACGGGUGAGUAAUACCUAGGGAUCUGCCCAGUCGAGGGGGAUAACAGUUGGAAACGACUGCUAAUACCGCAUACGCCCUACGGGGGAAAGAAGGGGACCUUCGGGCCUUUCGCGAUUGGAUGAACCUAGGUGGGAUUAGCUAGUUGGUGAGGUAAUGGCUCACCAAGGCGACGAUCCCUAGCUGUUCUGAGAGGAUGAUCAGCCACACUGGGACUGA
Molecule: ribosomal RNA, 327 nt
Filed under: Shewanella morhuae
Lineage: Bacteria; Pseudomonadati; Pseudomonadota; Gammaproteobacteria; Alteromonadales; Shewanellaceae
Description: bacterial SSU rRNA
Rfam family: Bacterial small subunit ribosomal RNA
Source: RNAcentral